CUCACUUGCGGCGCCACAGCGUCUUUCGGUUGUUUUUAUCUUCGUCCGGGGUUUUAGCUCUUUCUUUGUCGCCAAAACCUUGACAACCUUGAGCUUCACUAAUGGACUGUCUGAGACCCCCAACCCCGGUAACCCAUCAUGGCUUCCAUGGUACUUCAUUCUUCACAACAAAUUUCUCUUUCAGAACUUGCAACUGGAGAAACCCAGAUAGAUUUCACAAGCGCCUCUCGUUUUCGUUCUGUUCACCCUUCUAUGCCACGACACGUUUGCGGGUUUCAGCCCAAUUCGGACGAUCCACUACUCGUCGAAACUGGCUCCGGAAAAAGCUCCUUGAAGAUCAAAAGGUGCGUCUAAAUCCCACUUCCUUGAACCCAAGUCCUGAUCCUCAAGUUUACCAUAAUGUUGAAAUUCUUGGUAAGAAUUUGAGUGGUCACAGUGAAAAUCAGAGAGAUUCUUGUUAUAAUGUUGUUGAUUCAAGUAAUUUGGGUGAAUCUGCUUUGUUAGUUAAAUUGGAGAAUUGGGUUGAACAGUAUAAGAAGGAUGCAGAGUUCUGGGGAAUUGGCCCUACUCCUAUUUUUACUGUUUUUCAAGGUCUUGAUGGGAAUGUUGAGAGGGUUGUGGUUGAUGAAGAUGAAAUAUUGAGUAGGAGUCCAGUUGGGAGUGGAGAAUUUGAGGACUUAAGAGAAGUGAAUUCUAAGAUUUUGUAUGCAAGAAGUUUAGCUCAAAAGAUGGAGAAGGGGGAAAGUGUUAUUUCCAGGAAUAGUACCAUAGUCAAGUUUGUUUCGUCCACCGAGAAGUCUGAUUUUACCAGUACCAUUGGUGUGGAUAAUGUUAUUCCAAGGGAUGAUACCGUAACUAAACCUGUUUCAUCGAGUGAGAAGUCGGAUUUUACUAGUUCAAUUCGCGGUGUAGUUCUUAGUCCCAACUUUGUACCAAAACUCUUAAAAUUCGGGAGUAUUGUGUUGUGUGGUCUUAUUGUGUUUGGGGCUGUGAAAAAAUUACUCUCUUUUGGAAAUAAGGAGGAGCAACUCACAGAACAAGAGGAGGAGACACUGGAAAAUCCUAGAGUGGAAGUUGUUCAAGAAUCACCAGAACCACCAAUAGUUUCCUUCAAAAAGCCUAAGCUUGAUAAGGGAGAACUUAUGAACUCUAUUUUAAAAGCAAAGGGUUUGCAAGGUAGACUGGCAGUGCAUGAACAUUCCAGUUCUCAAACCACAACCUCUGUAGAUUUUGAUAAUAGAAUCAAGGAAAUUAGAGAAAUGGCCAGGAAAGCCCAUGAAAAUGAGGGUAUGGAAAAUUCCCUGGCUGAGCAGAUUGAUGAAAAACGUGAAACUGAGGAUGAGAAACUGUCUAAUGAGAUUGAAAUGGUCGGAAGGCAAAGAGUAGGGGGUGCGGGAUUUCUAAUUGAUAUUUCAGAUACCAAAUUGGAAGAAGGAAGAGUUAUAGCUACAUCUACAGAUGAACCAAAGGGUGAUGAUACCAAAAUUUUCAGUAAGGUAGGAAAUAAUGGGAAUGAGAAUGUGCCAGUCUCCAGUAUUGCGAGUAUAGAAAUUUCAAAGGAUCAGCAAAGCAUUGAACAAGAUUUGAUGGAUGACGGCAGUAAUUUCCCAGCUGUGAUCAGAAAAGAAAUCCUGCCAUCUAAUGCUACAGACGGUGAAUUAUGCAUCUCAAAGAGUAAGCCCAAAAGAAUGAAACGAAGAGUCAUCCGAUCAGUUGAAGAAGCUAGGGAAUUCCUUGUCAACAAACGUGACAAGCAAGGGGACAUCGACAAAACUGAAGUUAAUGAUGUUCAAAAUAUUUCAGGGUUAUUAAGUGCUAAACGACUCAGUAGCAAUACAGGCCAGAGAGUGAGCAAGGAUAGAAAAGUGUCUGACGUCAAGUCUGAAAUAUCAGAAUAUGAAACAGCCAGAAAAUCUUUUACUCCUAAGGACGAGUCAAUUCCAUCGGAAGAUUUUUAUUCUGGUGAUCGUGACAAAGGGUGUGGAGAAGUUUCUAUAUCUGUCUCUACUGACUCUGAAGUUUGUAUUCCGAAGGAGAACGAAUCUGGUACACCCAGAAGACAUGAUUCCAGAGAUGCUGUUGAAGGAUGUGAAGGGGAUGAUAAACCAAAACCCCCUACCAGUUUAAGUCAUGAAAUCAAUGGGAGCAAGGAACGUACAAGACAUCCUGUAAAAGCAGAAAACUGGAUAGAGAAAAAUUUUCAUGAAGUUGAGCCAAUAUUGAAAAAGAUUGGGGACGGCUUCAGGGAGAAUUACAUGGUUGCAAGAGAAAGAGCAAAUGAACCCUUAGACAUGGAUCUGGGACAGCUUAUCUCCAAUGCAAAUGAUGGUGAACUUGAAUGGAUGAAUGAUGAAAAUCUUAGAGAAAUUGUUUUUCAGGUUCGAGAAAAUGAGUUAAUGGGGAAGGAUCCCUUCCAUUUGAUAGCUGAUGAAGAUAAACUUGCAUUCUUCAAAGGCCUUGAAAAGAAAGUUGAGAAGGAUAAUGAAAAGCUAUCGCACCUGCACAAUUGGCUACAUUCAAACAUUGAGAAUCUUGACUACGGAGCAGAUGGUAUUAGCUUGUAUGAUCCACCAGAAAAGAUUAUACCGCGCUGGAAAGGACCUCCAUUAGAAAAGAAUCCUGAGUUCCUCAAUAACUUCGAAGAGCAGCGGAAGGCAAUUUUUGCUGGGAAAACUGAUCGAUCCUAUCCCGCGAAGAAGGAUGAACAGAACUUCCUUCAGAAAUCAACAGAAUCCAUAGGGAAUGGGAAUGUGGCCAGAAAUUCAGCCAACCAAGCUUUUGUAAAAGGAGUGCAUGAUAGGGAUCCAAAAGGUUCGAAAACAGUUAUAGAGGGCAGUGAUGGCACUGUUAGAUCUGGGAAAAAAUCUGGUAAGGAGUAUUGGCAACACACCAAGAAAUGGUCCCGUGGGUUUUUGGAAAGUUAUAAUGCAGAGACAGAUCCAGAAGUCAAGUCCAGUAUGAAGGAAAUGGGGAAGGAUUUGGAUAGAUGGAUCACUGAAGAAGAAAUACAGGAAUCAGCUGAUCUGAUGUCCAAACUACCUGAGAGAAAUAAAGAAUUCAUGGAAAAGAAACUCAACAAACUCAAAAGAGAAAUGGAAUUGUUUGGACCCCAAGCUGUGGUGAGUAAAUACCGUGAGUAUGCAGAUGACAAGGAACAAGAUUACUUGUGGUGGUUAGAUCUUCCUCAUGUACUGUGCAUUGAGUUAUACACAACUGAGAACGAAGAACAGAAAAUAGGAUUUUAUUCAUUGGAGAUGGCAGCAGAUCUUGAAUUGGAGCCAAAACCAUAUCACGUGAUUGCUUUUGAGGAUGCUGGUGAUUGUAAAAACCUUUGUUACAUCAUUCAGGCUCAUAUGGAUAUGCUUGGGAAUGGCCAUGCUUUUGUUGUUGCACGCCCGCCUAAGGAUGCUUUUCGGGAAGCCAAAGCCAAUGGUUUCGGUGUAACUGUCAUCAGGAAAGGGGAGCUACCGCUUAACAUAGACCAAACACUUGAAGAGGUGGAGGAGCAGGUAACUGAGAUUGGGAGCAAGAUAUACCAUGAUAAGAUUACACAGGAGCGCUCUGUGGAUACAAGCGCAAUAAUGAAGGGUGUUUUCGGUGUGGAAAACACUACUAGGAGAAACGAUCAAAGCGGAAGUUGAAGAAUACAAGCCGGAAGGGAAGGUGAUGCCUAGAUCUGAUAUUCCAGUGAGGAGAAACAACAGUCUAAAAUGUCCGCGGAUUGAGCAGAGUGCUUGCUCUCUCUGUGGCAAGAAGGUGCUGACAAAGUCGGAUCUACGGAUAAUUACUAGUUGAAUUCUUACUGCCCCUUCCUGUAGGUUGCUCUCAAUCUUCUUCUGAUCGACUUUGCUGCUUCUCAUGUGCUGUAUGCAUGACUUAGACCAUUCCCCUCAAAGCCAGCAUACCAGUUUGUCAAAUUCUUCAUGGCCAAGAGGUCUGCCCUUUAUGGUAUCAAGCAAUACUUCACUACAAGUUCGUUCAACACCAUGAAUAUAUAUAUAUAGUUGUUGAGGAAUAUAUUUAUUGAACCAGAUACACAUUUUUUACUCAUAUUGCAUACGCGUUUUCAUGGGGCUUGACUAUCAAUGUGGUCCAUGAAGAACAAAUUCAUGUCGACUUGUAGUCUAGAGCGGACAACAUUUCAAUGUGAUUGGGCUGAAAAUUUCAACAUACUGGAAGCACAACAACUAAUGGGUUUAAAUUAA
RNA transcript from Tripterygium wilfordii, 4205 nucleotides. RefSeq lists it as uncharacterized. The record is from RefSeq and is a predicted model, not a curated record. The transcript has 6 exons. Lineage: Eukaryota; Viridiplantae; Streptophyta; Magnoliopsida; Celastrales; Celastraceae.